Molecule: long non-coding RNA, 300 nt
Filed under: Rattus norvegicus (Norway rat)
Lineage: Eukaryota; Metazoa; Chordata; Mammalia; Rodentia; Muridae
Description: long non-coding RNA NONRATT021640
Source: RNAcentral
GUGCUGUGUGAAACGAGCCAUUAUCUGCGGUCACCUCACCGCGCAGCAGCAGCAGAACUUCAUGCUACUGCCGAGAAGUGGCUCAGUACUGCAUCACCAGUCCACAUCCCCUUCAGUCUCUCGCAGCUACCCUUCUGCUCUGCACUGCUAUGAGAUCAACGCUAUCUGGAUUCCAAUCUGAGCAGCUCACAAGGCAAGUACAACCAUCCUCGGCAUAGAGGAGGAAGGUGAGCCUCUCGAAGUGAGACCCCGUGGUUCCCAGGCAUCUUGCAUCCUGAAUACAUGACACCAUUCAGAGAA